Sander lucioperca (pikeperch) is the source of this 949-nucleotide long non-coding RNA. RefSeq lists it as uncharacterized. Lineage: Eukaryota; Metazoa; Chordata; Actinopteri; Perciformes; Percidae. The transcript is spliced from 5 exons. The record is from RefSeq and is a predicted model, not a curated record.
CCCAGCAGGGGCCUCCUUGGGAUCACAUCAUGGACAGGUGCAUAUAUGUGAGAGUCUUGCUGAUGCUUCUCUUCCUCUGACCGUGUGGGGUGAGGGGUUCACCGAGCCUUCCCAUUCCUUGGAAAACACCCAGGGUGGGCCUUGACUUACAGAUGUAAAAUGAAAUGCAGGUGGAGUGGAAAAAGCCCUGCUCCAGUGCCUGGUGUUGGCAGGAGGUUGGAGCCAACUAAUGUGACCGUGUAGAUGGAUCGGACCAGUAAGGGAAGAAGAGGACGUGUUACUGAGAGGGGGAGCGCUUGCCUCUGGUGGAUGACAAAGGAGCUGCUAUCCAGUAACCAAGGUGAGGAGCUGUGAACGUCCACGCGAGUUUUCCUCCUGCUGACACCACCGUCCCCAGUCCUUUCCUCAUCCAUCCACCUGGUGGUCCGGUUAAAGAACCAUGCCGGAACAACAUUGGAAGUGUGAAGUCCACAGCUGUCAGGGAUGCUGAGGCUGAUCUGUAUGGGCCCACUCACAUGUAACUCUGUGUCUCCGGAGAAAAGCUGCACACUUACAGCCGCCACCGGACUCAACUCCACACUGAGAUUGGCUUCCUAUCCUCUGUGAUGUCUGCCUGCGGAGCUUCCUGUCGCCAAAACGUGAGCAAAUCCUUUCUCGGCUGGCUUCUUCACCAUCAUAGCUUUUCUGUGACAGGGGCCUCAGAGAGGCCCUGAGCUGACACAUUUGUCCUCCCAGCUCUAGUCCCCUCUGACAAGGUAUAAAUCGGAGUCUAAACACACAAGCAGGAGGCUCGAUGACAGUCUCCAUGAUCAAUUUGCCACAAAUUAGAUACAGCAAUGGUUCAUUUCUCCACAUAAAUAGCUGCAUCUACAGGGACUAUUUUGGAAAUCUGUGCCUGCUCUCUGCUCCAUCCCUGGCUGCUUUCCUCUAUUAAUCUUAUCAGAGCACA